Molecule: non-coding RNA, 593 nt
Filed under: Pan troglodytes (chimpanzee)
Lineage: Eukaryota; Metazoa; Chordata; Mammalia; Primates; Hominidae
Source: RNAcentral
CGCGGGGUCAGGGAAGACCAGAGGACCACUAGCCCCAGGAAGCUUCCCACCACUAGCAAACUGCGUGGUGAAUUUGUAACCGAAAGGCCCAGGUGAGAUGUGCAAAUAUCACUGGAUUGGAGGAGCUCACUUGGAAAGCCAGUAUUCCUCCUGAGCUAAUGAAAAGAAAGGCUGUCGUCUUAUGCCAAAAGCAAUACCAACCUUGUUCACGGGCUGAGAUCUAGAGUGUGUAAUUCACGAAGUAUGAAUCUGCUGGGUAAUGUGAUAUGAAAAGCGAAUGCACCAUUUCUUGGUGAUGAUUCAGGUCAGCGUUGGGACCCAGGAAUCUCCUGUUAAUCAGUACCCUGGUGAUUUUGAUCCAGAGACAGUGUCUAUUAUCUGGUCCUGUUGUCAAGGCUGGUCUCAAACUCCUGGCCUCCAGCGAUCCUCCCUUUUUGGCCUCCCAAGAUGCUGGUAUUACAGGCAUGAGCCACCAUGGUCCACCUGGACUCCUUUUCAUAGGAGACAGUUCCCUAGGUGGAGACUGGGCUUGAAACAGGUAACUUACAAGGCAUCUUGUGAUCAUAAGAGAAUAAUUCCAUUUGAAAUCAGCA